RNAcentral lists this ribosomal RNA (453 nucleotides) under uncultured bacterium. Its description in RNAcentral is "bacterial SSU rRNA". It matches the Rfam family "Bacterial small subunit ribosomal RNA", at positions 8 to 507 of the family's 1533-position model. The record is from RNAcentral.
AGAGUUUGAUCCUGGCUCAGAACGAACGCUGGCGGCAUGCCUAACACAUGCAAGUCGAACGAGACCUUCGGGUCUAGUGGCGCACGGGUGCGUAACGCGUGGGAACCUGCCUUUAGGUUCGGAAUAACUCAGAGAAAUUUGAGCUAAUACCGGAUAAUGUCUUCGGACCAAAGAUUUAUCGCCUUUAGAUGGGCCCGCGUAAGAUUAGCUAGUUGGUGGGGUAAAGGCCUACCAAGGCGACGAUCUUUAGCUGGUCUGAGAGGAUGAUCAGCCACACUGGGACUGAGACACGGCCCAGACUCCUACGGGAGGCAGCAGUGGGGAAUAUUGGACAAUGGGCGAAAGCCUGAUCCAGCAAUGCCGCGUGAGUGAUGAAGGCCUUAGGGUUGUAAAGCUCUUUUACCCGAGAUGAUAAUGACAGUAUCGGGAGAAUAAGCUCCGGCUAACUCCGUG